This 873-nucleotide ribosomal RNA is filed under the name uncultured microorganism. RNAcentral describes it as "bacterial SSU rRNA". It matches the Rfam family "Bacterial small subunit ribosomal RNA", at positions 28 to 896 of the family's 1533-position model. The record is from RNAcentral.
AAUGAACGCUGGCGGCGCGCCUAAUACAUGCAAGUCGAGCGAGAAGACGUAGCAAUACGUUUGUAAAGCGGCGAACGGGUGAGGAAUACAUGGGUAACCUACCCUAGAGUGGGGAAUAACUAGCCGAAAGGUUAGCUAAUACCGCGUACGCUCCUUGGACUUCGGUUCAGGGGGGAAAGCGCUACCGAGGGUAGCGCGCUCUUGGAUGGGCUCAUGUCCUAUCAGCUUGUUGGUGAGGUAACGGCUCACCAAGGCUACGACGGGUAGCUGGUCUGAGAGGACGAUCAGCCACACUGGCACUGCGACACGGGCCAGACUCCUACGGGAGGCAGCAGUAAGGAAUAUUGCGCAAUGGGCGAAAGCCUGACGCAGCGACGCCGCGUGGGGGAUGAAGGUCUUCGGAUUGUAAACCCCUUUCGGGAGGGAAGAUGGAAUGGGGUAACCCAUUCGGACGGUACCUCCAGAAGCAACCACGGCUAACUUCGUGCCAGCAGCCGCGGUAAUACGAAGGUGGCAAGCGUUAUUCGGAUUUACUGGGCGUACAGGGAGCGUAGGCGGUUCGGUAAGCCCUCUGUGAAAUCUCCAGGCUUAACCUGGAAAAGUCGGGGGGGACUGCUGGGCUAGAGGACGGGAGAGGAGCGCGGAAUUCCCGGUGUAGCGGUGAAAUGCGUAGAGAUCGGGAGGAAGGCCGGUGGCGAAGGCGGCGCUCUGGAACGUUUCUGACGCUGAGGCUCGAAAGCGUGGGGAGCAAACAGGAUUAGAUACCCUGGUAGUCCACGCCUUAAACUAUGAAUACUAAGUGUCGGCGGUUUACCGCCGGUGCCGCAGCUAACGCAUUAAGUAUUCCGCCUGGGAAGUACGGCCGCAAGGUUG